CCGUAACUUCGGGAGAAGGCACGCUGGUGGUAAGUGAAAUCCCUGCGGGUGGAGCUGAAGCCAGUCGAAGAUACCAGGCCCCUGCGACUGUUUAUUAAAAACACAGCACUGUGCAAACACGAAAGUGGACGUAUACGGUGUGACGCCUGCCCGGUGCCGGAAGGUUAAUUGAUGGGGUUAGCGCUUGCGCGAAGCUCUUGAUCGAAGCCCCGGUAAACGGCGGCCGUAACAAUAACGGUCCUAAGGUAGCGAAAUUCCUUGUCGGGUAAGUUCCGACCUGCACGAAUGGCGUAACGAUGGGGGCGCUGUCUCUACCCGAGACUCAGUGAAAUUGAAAUCGCCGUGAAGAUGCGGUGUAUCCGCGGCUAGACGGAAAGACCCCGUGAACCUUUACUAUAGCUUCACAGUGAACUUUGAGCAUGUUUGUGUAGGAUAGCUGGGAGGCUUUGAAACCAGGACGCCAGUUCUGGUGGAGCCAACCUUGAAAUACCAGCCUGACAUGUUUGAGGUUCUAACUUGGUCCCCUUAUCGGGGAUGAGGACACUGUGUGGUGGGUAGUUUGACUGGGGUGGUCGCCUCCAAAAGAGUAACGGAGGCUUUCAAAGGUACCCUCAGCACGCUUGGUAACCGUGCGCAGAGUGCAAUAGCAUAAGGGUGCUUGACUGUAAGGCCUACAAGCCGAGCAGGUACGAAAGUAGGAUAUAGUGAUCCGGCGGUUCUGUAUGGAAGGGCCGUCGCUCAAAGGAUAAAAGGUACUCCGGGGAUAACAGGCUGAUACCGCCCAAGAGUUCACAUCGACGGCGGUGUUUGGCACCUCGAUGUCGGCUCAUCACAUCCUGGGGCUGAAGCCGGUCCCAAGGGUAUGGCUGUUCGCCAUUUAAAGUGGUACGCGAGCUGGGUUUAGAACGUCGUGAGACAGUUCGGUCUCUAUCUGUUGUGGGCGUAAGAAACUUGAGUAGAUCUGUCUUUAGUACGAGAGGACCGAGAUGGACUAACCGCUGGUGUACCAGUUGUUCCGCCAGGAGCACUGCUGGGUAGCUACGUUGGGAAGGGAUAAGCACUGAAAGCAUCUAAGUGCGAAACCCACUACAAGAUGAGGUUUCUUUUAAGGGAUGUUCUAGAUUAGGACGUAGAUAGGCUACAGGUGUAAAGGCAGUAAUGUCAAAGC
RNAcentral lists this ribosomal RNA (1168 nucleotides) under Chloropicon roscoffensis. RNAcentral's name for it is "partial Bacterial large subunit ribosomal RNA". It matches the Rfam family "Bacterial large subunit ribosomal RNA", at positions 1728 to 2891 of the family's 2925-position model. The record is from RNAcentral. Lineage: Eukaryota; Viridiplantae; Chlorophyta; Chloropicophyceae; Chloropicales; Chloropicaceae.